UACGAAUGGGGCAAGCGUUGUUCGGAAUCACUGGGCGUAAAGCGUGUGUAGGCGGUCUAUCAAGUCAGGAGUGAAAUCCCCGGGCUCAACCUGGGAAUUGCAUUCGAUACUGGAUAGCUAGAGUUCGGCAGAGGGAAGCGGAAUUUCGGGUGUAGCGGUGAAAUGCGUAGAUAUCCGAAGGAACAUCAGUGGCGAAAGCGGCUUCCUGGACCAGAACUGACGAUCAGGCUCGAAAGCGUGGGGAGCAAACAGG
Molecule: ribosomal RNA, 253 nt
Filed under: uncultured bacterium
Lineage: Bacteria
Description: partial 16S ribosomal RNA
Rfam family: Bacterial small subunit ribosomal RNA
Source: RNAcentral